GACAGAGGGGGCAAGCGUUGCUCGGAAUCACUUGGGCGUAAAGGGCGCGUAGGCGGCGUGACAGUCACCUUGUGAAAUCUCCGGGCUUAACUCGGAACGGUCAAGUGAUACUGUCGUGCUAGAGUACAGAAGGGGCAACUGGAAUUCUCGGUGUAGCGGUGAAAAUGCGUAGAUAUUCGCAAGAACACCAGUGGCGAAGGCGGCUUACUGGGUCCGGUUCUGAACGCUGAGGCGCGAAAGCGUGGGGAGCAAACAGG
RNAcentral lists this ribosomal RNA (257 nucleotides) under uncultured bacterium. RNAcentral's name for it is "partial 16S ribosomal RNA". It matches the Rfam family "Bacterial small subunit ribosomal RNA", at positions 524 to 776 of the family's 1533-position model. The record is from RNAcentral.